GCUCGAAAUGGUACAGGAUUCUGGCUCACCAUCUCAGCCUUGCCCCUUUGCCGAUGGAGGAUGUUUGUCAACUUGGAAGUGGCUUCUGGAUGGCAUGGAGUCGAAGACACCGGCACGGAGUUGUUUGGAAUUGUGAGGUUGGUGGCGGGUCUACAUUCAGCUUCGUUGCUGUCUCUGAAACCAUGAACUUGCCUUUCAAAACGAGUCAGCAGCUACAAGCCCAGUGGUCGUCUUGUGUUUCUUGGCGACGUAACCAAGGCUGCUGAAACCGAGCAAGGAGGGCUCAGAAGCGCUGGCUAUUAUUGAGAACAAUCAUCCAGUUUUCCAAGGUCGCCGCUACAAAUGAAAUAAAGCACAGAACGGCUUCAUUUCUUUAACCCGUAUCACCACCGUGAUUUCUUACAGAUUCCGUCGUCAGCUUCCAUGGACGUACACGGAUGCUUCCAGCAGAUGAUUGGGAAUUGGGUGUCUCACUAUGUCGCUAGAACUAGUCAUAGGUGCUGUAUGUUGUCCUUCAGUAAAAUUUCCUUUUCGAAGAGUCUGCCCUAUUGCUUACUGUUGCAAUUUGGGCAAUGGCUUGUUCAAAAUUUGACCAAAAAUGUUCAUUUUGUUUCCGCUAUCAGUUCUUUUACUA
Musa acuminata AAA Group (dessert banana) is the source of this 634-nucleotide long non-coding RNA. RefSeq lists it as uncharacterized. Lineage: Eukaryota; Viridiplantae; Streptophyta; Magnoliopsida; Zingiberales; Musaceae. The record is from RefSeq and is a predicted model, not a curated record. The transcript is spliced from 3 exons.